RNA transcript from Bolinopsis microptera, 5016 nucleotides. It is a transcript of the gene named RNA binding protein fox-1 homolog 1-like, with no coding region annotated. Lineage: Eukaryota; Metazoa; Ctenophora; Tentaculata; Lobata; Bolinopsidae. The transcript has 11 exons. The record is from RefSeq and is a predicted model, not a curated record.
GUGUUUACUGAGUAUACCGUUUAUUACAGCCUUUUUCGUGCACUCGUGUUUCUCUGCUGCAACCUUCAUCUCCAAAUAUCGUGAGACAUCCAACUUACUUUACUGGACACAUUCUUGAUCUUAGAAGUUAAAGAGAAGACCCGCGUCUUCAGAAGAUCCAACAAGAAACUCAGAAACUCCCCAGUAAUACUUAACUCAAUAACUCCACAACAAGGAACAUCUUACAAACCCUCUUACCAUGACAGCACUCUGGACUGCUCCAAUGUUUUACUAUGUUAAUCCCAUGGCUGGACCCCCUCCACCAAACCCCCACCAUGGUGGCAUGUACCCUUACCCACCUCAACACACAUUCGUACCUCCUCCCCCCGUUACCAUGACAACGGGUCCUGCUCAGGAGAGUGAGGAAGCUAUGGAUACAACCGAGCAGGGGGGUGCUGUGGAAGUGGCGGCUAAAGAAGAGGGAGGUACUGUGGAAGAUGCGGAGAAUCAGGGAGAGGCUGGAAAAGAGGAAGACUCCGAACAGACGACCACCACGACGCAGUCCCCAAUCAGUGCCCCAGGGCUGCUACCAGGGAUACCAACUCAGCCUCACAACAAGAGUAAACGUCUACACGUGACCAACAUUCCUUUCAGAUUCCGCGAACUUGACCUUAUUGAGAUCUUCCAGCCGUUUGGACCGAUAUUAGAGGCGGAGAUAAUCUUUAAUGAGAGAGGGAGCAAAGGGUUCGGUUUCGUGACAAUGAUGUCGGCGGAGGACGCCAGCAACGCCAAACAGAAACUUGGUGGUGCUAUCAUUGACGGCAGAAAAAUUGAGGUUAAUUGGGCUACACCUAGAGCUACUAAAUCAGUCAACAGAGCACCAUUCCUUGUUUCACCCAGCUUGACCUACCCAGCAGCAUUGAGAGCCCGUGCUGCGUUCCUGACCCCAGCCCAAGCCUCCACUUACCAGCGACUUGCUGCAGCUAGAAACAGCUUCUUAGAACUUGCUGCCGCCAGGAAUCAUCCUUUCGCUAGCCACCACAGAUCCCUAGCCAUUGCAGACGCCACCCAGCUACAAGACCCUUACUUCGCAGCCGCACUCGCUGCCGCUAACACUAACGCAGUACAGUCGGUUCCGGGCGCCCAGUCUGUUAACGAUCUCGCUAAUGUGGCUGGAGGACAAGCAGCAGCAGCCGCCGCCUUCAACCCCCGCUUCUCGUCACCAUACGCCACCGCGGCUGCAACGCAACAGCUCGCCGCACAGCAACAGACAGCCUUCUCCUUCGAGGAUCAGUUGCUAGGAUACCAGACCCUUCCCAUAACCAGUAUACCGACGGCAUUACAACCAGCACAAGACCAACGCGCACAGCCGGGACUAAUGGGUGACCCAUGGCAGGCCGCGGCUCAGGCUGGACAAGAACAGCAGGCUGCGGCAGGAAUGCCCGGUAUGCAGAACGAUCAAGACUACAUCUGGACCACCCUGAUACCCCAGCAGCAGGCAGCCGCCGUGAUGCGGCAACACUUAGAACUUGCACAGCACCAGAGCAUCGUCAACCCAGUUAGCAGAGCGCUUGGAGUAGCAGCGAGUUACAGAUAUUACCCCUACUAAUCAGAUAUCGGCCCACACCCGAGUAUAAACACUCACUCGAUGACGUCACUUUCUGUUGAGGUGACGUCACUGAAAUUUGAUGACGUCACCGGUUUAGGUAACAGCUACAAUAUGACGUCACCAACACCUUGCGUUACGUCACGCCUCGUCUCGUAGCGCCACCAUAGCAACCAUGACGCGCUUCCCUAGCAACCAAUCCGCUAGAACGUGCUGCGAGAAUGUGAACAAUUACAAACGUUAUUAUGAAUAUCAUAGAUAUUAUCGAAUAUUGAUUUCAAGGAUCAGAUUUUUAACGCUUGUAAAUAUAGUUGAGUUAUUGAAAACACGCUCAUGUUCCCCAUUGGUUACAAAAAUGUGCAUGUUCAGCCGUACCUUCUUUAAAAUCCAAAUUUUUAUCCAAAAUUCUGUUUAGUAUUCUUUAAAUAUGACUUAAACGUGUCACAUAUAUAGGUGACCUACCUUUGACAGUUUAAGUAAAUGUUUGAAAUGUUGUAAUUUACUUGCGGGCUUUUGUAUUGGAUGUCAUUAAAAGAAUUAUAUUGUGCGGAAUUUUUAACCCUUUGCUAUGCACGCCGUAUAGAUAUGUGUUGAGUUACGAUAUUUUUACCUUAAUUUUUGCGGACCACUUUUUGUUUGUAAAUGUUAAGACGGGCAUAUUACGGCCCGCGUUUCGUACAUUUUAUCCGACUUUUGCGUAGUUUUUAUAUUGAAAUGGACCUACUUUAAGUACAUUGAUGUGUUCAAGAAGUUAUAAUUUGUUAGCUGCGUACAAAGCUUACCAGAUACGUAAAUACUCUGAUUAAUUGUACAUAGUAAAUAGUAAUCCUGUAAUCAUCAUCACUAAUGAUCAUGACGUAACAAUCAUGUGACACCUCAAAAGAUCAGAAAUUCUUUAGUUAAAGUGUUCCGCUUUUAGUUUCACAAAUUCCAUAAAGAUUAACUGCUAGAUUUUCAAACCAAAUUGUUGCAAAUCUUCCUUACACCAGUGUGUAGAAACUUCCCUUACAAAAUGUAUCCUUGUGUUUGCUAACCCCUGUCCAACACUUCACCGCACUAAUCACAGAGUGAACUAUUACCCUGUGUGUUUGUGUCACCAGACCUUAUCAAAACAUUUCCUUGUGUUCGACUAAUCCCUCUCCUUGUUUCAGACGAUGACCAAGUUGACUGGCAUGCUGCAUGAAUAUAACACGUCUCCCGCCUCGCUCUUACAUGUUAUGAAUGUGAUAUCAUCUUCCAAUCAUAUCUUACAGCAGUCAAGCGCGCUCAUAAUUAUGUAUUAAUUAUGCAUGAUUGUGCGCAGUUUAUUGACUCGUAAGGAUCUAAUCUUUUAUCGAUUUUAGAAUCGGUUGUUGAGCAUGAUACUAAUUCUGAUGAAGACCUGUGUACGUACAAUUAUAUAUGCGAUUAAAUUCUUGCCAAAAACUAUUGAUGAAAGAUAUGCUGUCCGCUUUGCUCAAAGGUAAUGACACUGUUUCCUUGUGUUUUAAAGACGUCGCAUGCUCAACUUUAACAAUUGGUAUUUUCACCAGUAGUCUUUUCAUUAUUUUGAAUUUUAAGAGCUUUUAAAACAUAAUCUGUGACUGAUUAUUAAUUAUAAGCUUGUUAAAUAGUUCGAUAUAAGCACAUUUUUUGUUGAGCUGAGAAAUAUCACUAUCAAGCAGAGGGGAGAGCCGGAACUGGACGAUCGUAUAGGUUCGGUAAUUCGAGCCAAUAUGUUCGGACACUUGCCCGGUUCACUGCUCUAUUGGAAUGAGAUUUAUAGCACAUUUUUAUGCGCAUGAAUGUUGAUCGUUGCUGAUGUUCUAGGUACUUACAUGAUUACUUCGAUGAUUGGAAACCAGUCACAUUGAUGUUUGAUAAUCAGUCACCUUGGUGUUUGAUAAUCAGUCACCUUGGUGUUUGACAAUCAGUCACCUUGGUGAUUGACAACCAGUCACCUUGGUGUUUGACAAUCAGUCACCUGGUGUUUGAUAAUCAGUCACCUUGGUGUUUGAUAAUCAGUCACCUUGGUGUUUGACAAUCAGUCACCUUGGUGUUUGAUAAUCAGUCACCUUGGUGUUUGAUAAUCAGUCACCUUGGUGUUUGACAAUCAGUCACCUUGGUGUUUGACAACCAGCAAUCCUCCAGAACACAAAGGAUUUGGCUGGUCACAUUCCACCGUGUUCACUGUCAGAUUACUGUAAGUUAACUUGUGACUGCUUGUACCAGUUCCAUUGAAAUAGUAUUAUUGAAUACUGAUAGUACUGGUGUCUUGGAAGGAAACCAGGUCUCCGGUAAAAUCUACACAAUCAACGAAUAGCAUGUCAUGAUUAUCAGUUCUUAACGAUCCCAAUUAAUUCCCGACACCUCCCGAAGAAAUUGGCAACUCGCCAACAUUCUCUAUCAAAUCUCAUUCCUCAAGUGAAAAAUUCAUGCUUAAAUUAAUUUUAAUUAAUAAUUUUCCCAGAUACCCCAGGGGUUAGUCACACGGCAUUGUUUACAUUUCUUUGUCAAAUAAGUUGUCAUUUAUAAAUUCGAUUUGAAGCGCUAUUUCCGCAGCUCACCUCUUUACAGCUUUACAACAUAGAUAAAGGUGGUUCACUUUAAAUUUAAAAAUUUUAUUCAUGAAUACAGAUUGUUUGUUAGACAUGUUUUAAAGAGAGUAUUUAUGGAAAUAAUUGUAAUUAUAGUAAUUAUUGAUGAGAUUCGUUACAUUAAAGUUAUCAAUUAAAAUUUGAGGUCCUGAUGAGAUGCGGGUAAACCGUGAGCUUAAAUUAAUUGAUUAAUUGAUUGAUCAGUUAAUUAGUUAGUGACGGUUUUAUAUACAGUAAUAAUUUCUUUUGAUAACACACUAAGAUUAACAUUAUUAGGGAUGCUUAAUUACGAGUUCAAGUACGGUUCAAAUUUUAAAAUAAUCGAGGUUAUACAGUAGAUGUUAGAGUUAUAUAUAUAUGAGUAUAAUUAUGAUGAAUUUAUGAUCAUAUUUAGUUUCAAAUUCUAAGCAGAAUCGAAAAAUCUUGAUGCUGCAUAUUUCGACCCUUUUUAGUUUGAAGCUAUCGUUGAUUUAACUUAAUCUUCAAAUAAGUUAGUUUAUCGUACGAGAGGUCGAUUGAUUGACUGAUGAAGCAGCUCAAUGUUUUUCGAGUAUAAAUAUUGGUGAAAGUAGAUAAUUAUUGUUAUUUUAGACAAACUUGCAUUCAACAUUGUAUAUUUUUAUAAGCGAGUUUUUAUUGGAAUUAUGUUCAGCCUGAUAUCCACGAUCCAGUCCACUAAAAUGUUAACUUGUGUUUGAGGUUGGACAUUUCAGUUUGCAAAAUUUGGGUGGAUAUUAGGCUGAUUCGUUAACAAUUCUUUGUAAAUAAUGUUAUUCGUUGUUUGGUCCCAAUGGUUUGUUUCCGAACAGCAAAUAUCUUUGAAUAAUACAAUUCUCUUCAAUUUAGAAUUUUAAA